AGAGUUUGAUCAUGGCUCAGAAUCAACGCUGGCGGCGUGCCUAACACAUGCAAGUCGCACGAGAAAGGGGAGCAAUCCCUGAGUAAAGUGGCGCACGGGUGAGUAACACGUGAAUAAUCUACCUCCGAGUGGGGAAUAACCUAGAGAAAUCUGGGCUAAUACCGCAUAACACUUACGAGUCAAAGCAGCAAUGCGCUUGGAGAGGAGUUCGCGGCCGAUUAGCUAGUUGGCGGGGUAAUGGCCCACCAAGGCGAUGAUCGGUAUCCGGCCUGAGAGGGCGCACGGACACACUGGAACUGAAACACGGUCCAGACUCCUACGGGAGGCAGCAGUGGGGAAUUUUGCGCAAUGGGGGAAACCCUGACGCAGCAACGCCGCGUGGAGGAUGAAAUAUCUUGGUAUGUAAACUCCUUUCGAUGGGGAAGAUAAUGACGGUACCCAUAGAAGAAGCCCCGGCUAACUUCGUGCCAGCAGCCGCGGUAAUACGAGGGGGGCAAGCGUUGUUCGGAUUUAUUGGGCGUAAAGGGUGCGUAGGCGGUUUGGCAAGUCUUAUGUGAAAUCUUCGGGCUCAACCCGAAGCCUGCAUAAGAAACUGCCGGGCUUGAGUAUUGGAGAGGUGAGUGGAAUUUCCGGUGUAGCGGUGAAAUGCGUAGAUAUCGGAAAGGAACACCUGUGGCGAAAGCGGCUCACUGGACAAUAACUGACGCUGAUGCACGAAAGCUAGGGGAGCAAACAGGAUUAGAUACCCUGGUAGUCCUAGCCCUAAACGAUGAUUGUUUGAUGUGGCAGGUACCCAAUCCUGCCGUGUCGAAGCUAAACGCGAUAAACAAUCCGCCUGGGGAGUACGGUCGCAAGGCUGAAACUCAAAGGAUUUGACGGGGGCCCGCCCAGCGGUGGAGCAUGUGGUUUAUUCGACGCAACGCCGAAAGAAC
This 932-nucleotide ribosomal RNA is filed under the name uncultured bacterium. RNAcentral describes it as "bacterial SSU rRNA". It matches the Rfam family "Bacterial small subunit ribosomal RNA", at positions 8 to 970 of the family's 1533-position model. The record is from RNAcentral.